Molecule: ribosomal RNA, 115 nt
Filed under: Phytophthora infestans T30-4
Lineage: Eukaryota; Oomycota; Peronosporomycetes; Peronosporales; Peronosporaceae
Source: RNAcentral
ACGGCCAUCUUAGGCUGAAAGCACCAUAUCCCGUCUGCUCUGUGAAGUUAAGCAGCCUCAAGCUCGGGUAGUACUCGGGUGGGUGAGCACCUGGGAAAUCCGGGGUUCUUAGCUA